GCGGCGUGCCAUUGCCAGAUUAGCUGGGUGCUAAAGAGAUUGAUCCUGCUGUCUGUUUGGGACGUCAGAUCUCUCAGGAGGAUGACAGGUGAGGAUAGCAGGACUUCCUAACAAUGGUCCUUCCUUUGCUAUGUGUGGUCAUGGCAUUGAUCAGGAGGCAGGUUGGCCAGCCAGCAGGGUACUUGGAAGUUUCUGUGACUUGGGCUUUUAAAAAUGUGUGCAAUCCCUGUCUACUUGGGUUAGGGCUUAGCUGGGGCAUUGCUUGGCUUACAUGGCCCGAGAUGCAAUGAGGUCAGAAUCACCUCUCAAGAGUCUACUUACAAAAGGUUUCUGCUUUUAUUUACUUGAUCCUAGGGCUUCAUUAAGAAUGGGUUUCCGCGGCUGAAGAGCAGAUCAGUGUUGUGCUUCGGCAGUGGGUUGUAUCUGCCCAGAAAAGAUUCACAAAGCUGAGCCCAUUAGAGCUGAAAGAUGCUGUAGCGAUCCUCCUGUCCAUGAGUUUCUGACCCUGGAUUCACUUGCACAGUGUUUUACCAAAAUAUGGAUAUUUUCCAUCAAGUGUAUUCCUAUAACAAAAACCAUUCAGUGACUAAAACAAAGGAAAUCAGCCUCCAUGGAAAUAUUAUUAAAAUUAUCUAAAAUAAAUCUUAACAGUAAAUAAAGUUUCCAAAAAGAAACUCCAAAACACAGUCGCCGCCCCCACGAUGUGCCUGUGAUCUGGCCUGUUGCAGAACUGUUUUGAAUUGCAUACCUUCUCCAGGUCUCCAGUUUACAUGGUCCCACCAGUCCCUGAUUGUUUUACUUAUUUGUAUUACUUGCCUGGCCCUGUACAUUUGAAUUUGCGGCCUUUGAUAAGGGCCUAAAGUUUAGUAAGAGGUUCUUACUGUCUUUGUUUGGGCUAACACCUAUUACACAGGGGUUUAUACUCACAGAAUCUGUUGGGGGUUGGGAUGGGGCAAUCUCCCAAAGUGUGAAGUAAGUUCAGUUGAAGCUGCAUUGGAAAGGCUGCGGGGGGCUCAGCCAGAUUUCGAAGAAAGGUUGGCUGUUUGAUCUUGAGUUAGAGGCGAGUGAAUGACAUCUUCCUAAAGCAAAAUAAGAAAUGUAAAGAUGAUCAAGCAGUGAUUGGUAACAGUUGUAGAUUUAUUUGAAUGGUUUUAAUGGGAUUUUCUAAAGGCAAUGGUAUUCUGAAAUUUCUAAAUAUAUCUCCUGCUGCUGCUGCUAAGUCGCUUCAGUCGUGUCCGACUCUGUGCGACCCCAUAGAUGGCAGCCCACCAGGCUCCCCCAUCCCU
Bubalus bubalis (water buffalo) is the source of this 1286-nucleotide long non-coding RNA. RefSeq lists it as uncharacterized. NCBI's taxonomy places the organism in Eukaryota, Metazoa, Chordata, Mammalia, Artiodactyla, Bovidae. The record is from RefSeq and is a predicted model, not a curated record. The transcript has 4 exons.